RNAcentral lists this ribosomal RNA (507 nucleotides) under uncultured bacterium. RNAcentral's name for it is "partial 16S ribosomal RNA". The record is from RNAcentral.
GGAGUUAGCCGGUGCUUCUUCUGUGAGUGAUGUCCUUCCUGCCGGUUAUUGACCCGCAGGCCUUCUUCCUCACUGAAAGUGCUUUACAACCCGAAGGCCUUCUUCACACACGCGGCAUGGCUGGAUCAGGGUUGCCCCCAUUGUCCAAUAUUCCCCACUGCUGCCUCCCGUAGGAGUCUGGGCCGUGUCUCAGUCCCAGUGUUGCUGAUCAUCCUCUCAGACCAGCUACGGAUCGUCGCCUUGGUGAGCCGUUACCUCACCAACCAGCUAAUCCGACAUAGGCUCAUCCGAUAGCGCGAGGCCCGAAGGUCCCCCGCUUUCCCCCGUAGGGCGUAUGCGGUAUUAGCCUGGGUUUCCCCAGGUUAUCCCCCACUACCGGGCAGAUUCCUAUGCAUUACUCACCCGUCCGCCGCUCGCCACCAGGGAGCAAGCUCCCCGUGCUGCCGCUCGACUUGCAUGUGUUAGGCCUGCCGCCAGCGUUCAAUCUGAGCCAGAAUCGAACCCUGA